Molecule: long non-coding RNA, 350 nt
Organism: Arabidopsis lyrata subsp. lyrata
Lineage: Eukaryota; Viridiplantae; Streptophyta; Magnoliopsida; Brassicales; Brassicaceae
Exons: 2
Source: RefSeq, a predicted model, not a curated record
UACCACGGCUGAGAUUGCUGUCGUUAAGCCGAACACAACGAUCACCGGAACAAGUGUAACACCAACCUUAAUCUAUUUCAAAAAAUACAUGAAAAUGAAGAUAGAUUCGAGAAGGAUGCCGACUCCAUUAAUGGUGACGAGAGGAAGAUUCUCCCAAAGAUGACUCACAAUCGGUAAACCGUACCAAGUAUAAAUCAAACAGUUGAAGAGUGUCAUAACGUAAGGAAAACAUGAGAAUUCCUCUGUGCUUUUCUUCUUAAACACCCUUGAAAAUGUUAAUCUACAUUAACAAAAAGAAAAUGUUAGUCAACAUGCCCACCAAUAAAAUAAUUAGAGGUUUUCAAAUUAAA